Molecule: ribosomal RNA, 1379 nt
Filed under: uncultured bacterium
Lineage: Bacteria
Description: 16S ribosomal RNA
Rfam family: Bacterial small subunit ribosomal RNA
Source: RNAcentral
UUCGCCCUUAGAGUUUGAUCCUGGCUCAGGACGAACGCUGGCGGCGCGCCUAACACAUGCAAGUCGAACGAGCGAGAGAGAGCUUGCUUUCUCAAGCGAGUGGCGAACGGGUGAGUAACGCGUGAGGAACCUGCCUCAAAGAGGGGGACAACAGUUGGAAACGACUGCUAAUACCGCAUAAGCCCACAGCUCGGCAUCGAGCAGAGGGAAAAGGAGCAAUCCGCUUUGAGAUGGCCUCGCGUCCGAUUAGCUAGUUGGUGAGGUAAUGGCCCACCAAGGCAACGAUCGGUAGCCGGACUGAGAGGUUGAACGGCCACAUUGGGACUGAGACACGGCCCAGACUCCUACGGGAGGCAGCAGUGGGGAAUAUUGCACAAUGGGGGAAACCCUGAUGCAGCGACGCCGCGUGGAGGAAGAAGGUCUUCGGAUUGUAAACUCCUGUUGUUGAGGAAGAUAAUGACGGUACUCAACAAGGAAGUGACGGCUAACUACGUGCCAGCAGCCGCGGUAAAACGUAGGUCACAAGCGUUGUCCGGAAUUACUGGGUGUAAAGGGAGCGCAGGCGGGAAGACAAGUUGGAAGUGAAAUCUAUGGGCUCAACCCAUAAACUGCUUUCAAAACUGUUUUUCUUGAGUAGUGCAGAGGUAGGCGGAAUUCCCGGUGUAGCGGUGGAAUGCGUAGAUAUCGGGAGGAACACCAGUGGCGAAGGCGGCCUACUGGGCACCAACUGACGCUGAGGCUCGAAAGUGUGGGUAGCAAACAGGAUUAGAUACCCUGGUAGUCCACACCGUAAACGAUGAUUACUAGGUGUUGGAGGAUUGACCCCUUCAGUGCCGCAGUUAACACAAUAAGUAAUCCACCUGGGGAGUACGACCGCAAGGUUGAAACUCAAAGGAAUUGACGGGGGCCCGCACAAGCAGUGGAGUAUGUGGUUUAAUUCGACGCAACGCGAAGAACCUUACCAAGUCUUGACAUCCUGCGACGAUGCUGGAAACAGUAUUUUCCUUCGGGACGCAGAGACAGGUGGUGCAUGGUUGUCGUCAGCUCGUGUCGUGAGAUGUUGGGUUAAGUCCCGCAACGAGCGCAACCCUUACUGUCAGUUACUACGCAAGAGGACUCUGGCAGGACUGCCGUUGACAAAACGGAGGAAGGUGGGGAUGACGUCAAAUCAUCAUGCCCUUUAUGACUUGGGCUACACACGUACUACAAUGGCGUUAAACAAAGAGAAGCAAGACCGCGAGGUGGAGCAAAACUCAGAAACAACGUCCCAGUUCGGACUGCAGGCUGCAACUCGCCUGCACGAAGUCGGAAUUGCUAGUAAUCGUGGAUCAGCAUGCCACGGUGAAUACGAACCCGGGCCUUGCACACACCGCCCGUCA